RNAcentral lists this ribosomal RNA (254 nucleotides) under uncultured bacterium. RNAcentral describes it as "partial 16S ribosomal RNA". It matches the Rfam family "Bacterial small subunit ribosomal RNA", at positions 524 to 776 of the family's 1533-position model. The record is from RNAcentral.
UACGUAGGAUGCAAGCGUUUGUCCGGAAUUAUUGGGCGUAAAGAGCGCGCAGGCGGUAUGACAAGUCAGAUGUGAAAGAGGCCGGCUUAACCGGCAAGGGUCAUUUGAAACUGUCAGACUAGAGUGCAGCAGAGGAUAGUGGAAUUCCCGGUGUAGUGGUGAAAUGCGUAGAUAUCGGGAAGAACACCCGUGGCUAAGGCGGCUCUCUAGUACGGUACUGACGCUGAGACGCGAAAGCGUGGGGAGCGAACAGG